Molecule: long non-coding RNA, 1227 nt
Filed under: Homo sapiens (human)
Lineage: Eukaryota; Metazoa; Chordata; Mammalia; Primates; Hominidae
Description: HSALNT0268730
Source: RNAcentral
ACAUGCUCAAUAAAUGUUUAUUAAAUGCAUCUCUGCAUCCCACACAUGUUGCAGUCCUUAGCACAGAAGAAGGACUUGGGACCUGCUCUUCAGCUCUGUGCCACGAGGAACGUCUCAUCACUCCCAUUUUACAGAUGUAGGAUCCAAGACUCUGAGGGGUAACAGUCAGAGGUCGCCUUUAUGGGGGACAUGAAUCCCUCUGUUUCCUCCUGGUUUUCAUUCUGAACCUCUGUGCCCCUAGCAAACACCAUUAGCUCUUCCUGACUUCAGGAUGGACUGAGUAACGGAUGCCAGACACAGGGACGUUCCCAACACUGCCUAGAACGAAGUCACUUUUAACAGAGUGAAUGCGAACACAAUGUAUGCAUAUUGCACAUACAGAACUACCUGACAGUGCUAAAUAAUUCAGAGAGGGCGCCAGCAGCUCAGUGCCUUUUAAUAGUAAAUAAUUCAAGGGCUCUUGGCAUCCCUCCCACCGAUACAGCAAUAUAUCUUCCUGUGUCAGGAGAGAAGCAGGAGUCUUACAUGAAUGAAUGUGAGGGCCAUCACAACCAGAACCUUCUCCCCCAUGCAAGUUUACAGAGUGCAGUGGGCAACAUCAUUUGCAAUUGUUCUUUGAUUUAGGUGUCCAGCCGGUCAGACUUCCAGCGUGCUGGCUUUUGUUACAUAUAUAUAUUUUCUGAGACAGGAGUCUUGCUCUGUCACCCAGGCUGGUGUGCAGCAGUGGCACAAUCUUGGCUCACUGUUGAACCCAGGAGGGUUCAAAUGAUUCUCGUGCCUCAGCCUCCCGAGUAGCUGGACUACAGGUGCGCACCACCAUGCCUGGCUAAUUUUUGUAUUUUUAGUAGAGAUGGGGUUUCACUAUGUUGGCCAGGCUGGUCUCGAACUCCUGACCUCAAGUGAUCCACCCACCUCGGCCUCCCAAAGUGCUGGGAUUACAGAUGUAAGCCACCGCGCCCAGCCGGUUACAUAUUUUUUAAAGUGAGAGAAGAAAACAGUUUCCUCAGACAUCCACUGUGAUUAAAGACGAGCAAGUGUGCAGUUAUGUACAUAUAAAUUUGUUAGCAAUUUAGGUCACCCUUGGCCUACUGUUCAAACUGAGUGGCAGGCUUGAGAGCGGAGGGCAUCUUGAGUGGCGUAGUAGCCUCGCAUGUGUUCUGUCUUGUUAGCUAUGCAACUCUGGGCAAGUGAUGACACUUUCUUGUUCCUCAGUUUCCUCUUCUGUCA